Molecule: long non-coding RNA, 1597 nt
Filed under: Homo sapiens (human)
Lineage: Eukaryota; Metazoa; Chordata; Mammalia; Primates; Hominidae
Description: HSALNT0326506
Source: RNAcentral
UGUUAGAUCUCUCACAACAAUCUGAAGGUCUCACCAUCUUUUUUUACUCCCUCCUUUUAUCUUUUAUAGGCAUUUCUCCUAAUAGAUCUAACCUCAUUUUGGCAUCAUUUUCUCAAAGGACUUGAAUAGGUUUUUAUUUUGAAUGUGAAAGUAGCAUACUGUGUACUAGUGAAUACUGUUACACUUAAUUUACUGGACAACAAGGAAGGCUGCUAGAUUUGAAUGGGCCAGAGCUAGAAAAGGUUUUUCUACAGGUUCAAAUUUCAGUACAAGCAGCCCUGACACCUGAGCCAUAGGAACAGCAGAUCCAAAGCUAUGAGAAUAUCUUGAUAGAGAAGGAUUCGGUGUUACCACUCUGGAAAGUGCCAAUAUGAGUGUCAUUCCAAGGAACUCUAAAAUUCUGGAGCAAAGCCGUACUAUCUGCAGCAGAGAACUACACAUCACUUAAAAAGCAACUGUAGGCAUGCUAUGGGUCCUGACAGAAAGUUCCCAAACAUGGAGAUUUCAAAUGACCAUGCAAUCAGGGUCCUCCAUCAUGAGCUGAAUAAUAUCAGACCUACCAAGUCAUAAUAUUAGGUAAGUCCAACAGCAAUCUAUUACAAAGUACAGGUGGUACAUCUGGAAUCAAGCUUCAGUAGGUUCACAUGGUAUAAGUAAGCUUGCAUCAAGAGAUGGCCUAGAAACCCUAUCAUCUGCCACAAUUGAAACAAUGCCACUCUCUUGGCUCAUAUUGAUGACCUUAUGGGAGAGUGCCAAGACAUGCUAACGAAGAGGAAAUGGCAUGAGGUUUGUUCUCAGAUGGUUCAACUUGGCAUGGGAGAGAGCCAAAUAUAAACACUCAUGUACUACAGCCCCACUCAAAGGUGGCUCUUAUCAGAAAGGGAAAAUUCUUCCCAAGCGCAUAGCUUCAGAAAGUGCAACUUAUCACCUUUCCGUGAAAGAGAAAAGUGGCCUAAGGGGGAAAAGUGGGAAAUGGAAGUGCCUUUUAGACCACAUAUAAGAUUCCUGUUUUUCCCCCACUGCCCUCUGCUUCUCUACAUGCUAAUGUUACAAGAACAUUCAUAAGGAAAUGCUUCAAAAAGCUGUUGCCUAAAUAUUAUGCAAGAGAUAAUCCAGUCCAGAAGCAGGUGUUAAUAGAAAGAGCUCAGAGAAACUGUUGGUGCUAUCCAACAAGCAAACACGCAUCAAGACAAGCAAAGAAAUACAGACAGAACUUUAAAAUGAAGACAUUCUAAGAUCUCACUUUUAACUGAUAACCUGGAGGCAACGUUUACCAAGAUGGAUGGGCACAUAUCUAGGAACUGUCAAAAUCCAGGAAUGCUGGAAGAAGUAUGCAUUUGAGGACACUUAAGAAAUCAACUAUGAGUUUGAAACCAAGUUACAAAAGGAGAGAGCAACCACAUUUUUCAAAGAGAUUUUCUUUUGUCAUGGCCCAAUUCGAUCUUCACAGCGGACAACAUACAGCCGGAUAUCGUGCUUUGUACAAAUUGAAGUUUUGCAUCAACCCUGCUUCAAGCAAGUCUAUUGGCACCAUUUUCCCAACAGCGUGUGUUCAUUUUGUGUCACUGUGUCAUAUUUUGGUAAUUCUCAUAACAUU